Molecule: long non-coding RNA, 2427 nt
Filed under: Heterocephalus glaber (naked mole-rat)
Lineage: Eukaryota; Metazoa; Chordata; Mammalia; Rodentia; Bathyergidae
Description: lncRNA (ENSHGLG00100050211.1)
Source: RNAcentral
ACCUGGAUGUCUCCUCUGGGCAGUGAGCCAUGGAAUGCUGACCCUGAGGUUUCCUGUGUGGUGGGAUCUGUUGCACGCAGAUUGGAAUACUGCUGACUGGGAGCUGUGGCACGCUGACAUGGAUGUCUCCUCUGGGCUGCGAGCCCUGGCACACUGAUCCCGAGUUCCCAUCUGUGGUUGGAUCUAUUGCACGCAGAUUGGAAUACUGCUGGCUGAGAGCUGUGACACGCUGACCUCGAUGUCUCCUCUGGGCGGUGAGCCAUGGCACGCUGACCCCGAGGUCUACUCUCUGGUUGCAUCUGUGGCACGGAUUGGAAUAAUCCCGCUGGCUGAGAGCUGUGGCACCCUGACCUGGAAGGCUCGUCGGGGCUUCGAUCUGUUGCACGCUGACCCCGAGUUCUCCUCUGUGGUUGGAUCUGUUGCACGCAGGUUGGAAUACUGAUGGCUGGGAGCUGUGGCAUGCUGAUCUGGAUGUCUCCUCUGGUCUGUGAGCUUUGGCACACUGAUCCCGAGGUCUACUCUCUGGUUGCAUCUGUGGCACACAUUGGAAUAAUCCCGCUGGCUGAGAGCUGUGGCACCCUGACCUGGAAGGCUCGUCGGGGCUUCGAUCUGUUGCACGCUGACCCCGAGUUCUCCUCUGUGGUUGGAUCUGUUGCACGCAGGUUGGAAUACUGAUGGCUGGGAGCUGUGGCAUGCUGAUCUGGAUGUAUCCUCUGGUCUGCGAGCCUUGGCACACUGAUCCCGAGGUCUACUCUCUGGUUGCAUGUGUGGCACACAAAUUGGAAUAAUCCUGCUGGCUGAGAGCUGUGGCACACUGACUUGGAAGACACCUCUACUCUUCUAGCUGUGGCACACCAACCCUGAGGCCUCCUCUGUGGUUGGAGCUGUGGCACGCUUACUUGGAAUACUUCUCCUGGCUUGGAACUAUGGCAUGCACACCUUGAUAUCUCCUCUGGUCUGCGAGCCGUGGCACGCUGACCCUGAGGGCUAAUCUGUGGUUUCAUUUUGGGCACGCAAACUGGAAUAAUCCUGCUGGCUGAGAGCUGUGGCACCCUGGCCUGGAAGACUCCUCGGGGCUUCAAUCUGUUGCACGCUGACCCUGAGGCCUCCUCUGCAGUUGGAGCUGUGGCACGCCUACUGGCAAUACUCCUCCUGGCUUGGAACUAUGGCAAGCUGAACUGGAUGUAUCCUCUGCGCUCUGAGCCAUUGCACGCUGACCCCGAGGUCUCCUCUGUCGUUGGAUCUGUUGCACGAAGGUUGGAAUACUGCUGGCUGAGAGCUGUGGCACGCUAACCUGGAUGUAUCCUCUGGUCUGCGAGCCUUGGCACCCUGAUCCUUAGGUCUAAUCUCUGUUUGCAUGUGUGGCACACAAAUUGGAAUAAUCCUUCUGGUUGAGAGCUGUGGCACCCUGACCUGGAAGACUCCUUGGGGCUUCGAUCUAUUGCACGCUGACCCUGAGGCCUCUUCUGUGGUUGGAGCUGUUUCACGCCUACUGGGAAUACUCCUCCUGGCUUGGAACUCUGGCAUGCACACCUUGAUGUCUCCUCUGGGCUGCGAGCCAUGGCACACUGAUCCCGAGGUCUACUCUCUGGUUGCAUCCGUGGCACACAAAUUGGAAUAAUCCUGCUGGCUGAGAGCUGUGGCACGCUGACCUGGAUGUAUCCUCUGGUCUGCGAGCCUUGGCACCCUGAUCCUUAGGUCUAAUCUCUGGUUGCAUCUGUGGCACACAAAUUGGAAUAAUCCUGUUGACUGAGAGCUGUGGCACGCUGACGUGGAAGACUCCUCUGCUCUUCGAGCUGUGGCACACCAACCCUGAGGCCUCCUCUGUGGUUGGAGCUGUGGCACACCUACUGUGACUACUCCUCCUUUCUGGGAGCUAUGGCAUGGUCAUCUGGAUGUCUUCUGUGGGCUGCGAGCUGUGGCACGCUGAGCCUGAAGGCCUACUCUGUGGUUGGCUUUGUUGCACGCAUAUUGGAGUACUGCAGGCUGAGAGCUGUGGCACGCAGAUCUGGAUGUCUCCACUGGGAGGUGAGCCAUAGCAUGCUGACCUCGAGUUCUCCUCUGUGCUUGGAUGUGUUGCACGCAGGUUGGAAUACUGAUGGCUGGGAGCUGUGGCAUGCUGAUCUGGAUGUCUCCUCUGGUCUGUGAGCUUUGGCACACUGAUCCCGAGGUCUACUCUCUGGUUGCAUCUGUGGCACACAUUGGAAUAAUCCCGCUGGCUGAGAGCUGUGGCACUCUGACCUGGAAGGCUCGUCGGGGCUUCGAUCUGUUGCACGCUGACCCCGAGUUCUCCUCUGUGGUUGGAUCUGUUGCACGCAGGUUGGAAUACUGAUGGCUGGGAGCUGUGGCAUGCUGAUCUGGAUGUAUCCUCUGGUCUGCGAGCCUUGGCACACUGAUCCCGAGGUCUACUCUCUGGUUGCAUGUGUG